This 549-nucleotide ribosomal RNA is filed under the name uncultured bacterium. RNAcentral describes it as "bacterial SSU rRNA". It matches the Rfam family "Bacterial small subunit ribosomal RNA", at positions 97 to 677 of the family's 1533-position model. The record is from RNAcentral.
GGCGGACGGUCGAGUAACGCGUGGGGAUCUACCUUGAAGUUGGACAUAGCUCGUCGAAAGGCGGGGUAAUUUCCAAUGUGAACGUAAGUUCAAAGCCGCAAGGCGCUUUAAGAUGAACCCGCGUCCUAUCAGCUAGUUGGUGAGGUAAUGGCUCACCAAGGCAUCGACGGGUAGCUGGUCUGAGAGGAUGAUCAGCCGGAAUAGCACUGAGACACGGGCUAUACACCUACGGGUGGCAGCAACUGGGAAUCUUGCGCAAUGGACGAAAGUCUGACGCAGCGACGCCGCGUGGAGGAUUGAAGGCCCUCGGGUUGUAAACUCCUUUUGACUGGGAAGAUUAAGACUGUACCAGUAGAAUAAGCACCUGCUAACUACGUGCCAGAAGCCUCGGUAAUACGUAGGGUGCAAGCGUUAUCCGGAUUUAUUGGGCGUAAAGUGUUGCGUAGGCUGAUUUGCGCAUUUUGUUUAAAAGACUAAGGCUCAACCUUAGUUUUGGGCAAAAUAUGGCAAAUCUUGAUGGUUUAAGAGGGUACUGGAACUCUAUAUGUA